AGUGAACGCUGGCGGUAGGCCUAACACAUGCCAGUCGAACGGCAGCACAGUAAGAGCUUGCUCUUACGGGUGGCGAGUGGCGGACGGGUGAGGAAUACAUCGGAAUCUACUUUUUCGUGGGGGAUAACGUAGGGAAACUUACGCUAAUACCGCAUACGACCUACGGGUGAAAGCAGGGGAUCUUCGGACCUUGCGCGAUUGAAUGAGCCGAUGUCGGAUUAGCUAGUUGGCGGGGUAAAGGCCCACCAAGGCGACGAUCCGUAGCUGGUCUGAGAGGAUGAUCAGCCACACUGGAACUGAGACACGGUCCAGACUCCUACGGGAGGCAGCAGUGGGGAAUAUUGGACAAUGGGCGCAGGCCUGAUCCAGCCAUACCUCGUGGGUGAAGAAGGCCUUCGGGUUGUAAAGCCCUUUUGUUGGGAAAGAAAAGCAGCAGGUUAAUACCCCGCUGUUCUGACGGUACCCAAAGAAUAAGCACCGGCUAACUUCGUG
This 492-nucleotide ribosomal RNA is filed under the name uncultured bacterium. RNAcentral's name for it is "partial 16S ribosomal RNA". It matches the Rfam family "Bacterial small subunit ribosomal RNA", at positions 29 to 507 of the family's 1533-position model. The record is from RNAcentral.